Non-coding RNA from Caenorhabditis elegans, 21 nucleotides. NCBI's taxonomy places the organism in Eukaryota, Metazoa, Nematoda, Chromadorea, Rhabditida, Rhabditidae. The record is from Ensembl.
UUAGGAUUAGUUGUACAGCCC